UUCGUUUUUUAAUUAAAAACUAGAAUGAAAGGUUAUACAUUCAAAUUUCUUUAUUAAUUUCUAAUUAAUAAUUUAUAUUAAAUAUAAAAAUAUACUUAUAAAAAAAAAAGACGACAAGACCCUAUUAAAUUUUACUUAUAGUUUAACUGGGGAAGUUUUUUAAUUAAAAUUUUUUAAAUUUAAUAAAUAAAAAUCUAAUAAAAUUAAAAUUUUAACAAAUUACUAUAGGGAUAACAGCAUUAUAUUUUUUAAAAGUUCAUAUUAAAAAAAAUGAUUAUGACCUCGAUGUUGAAUUAUAUUUUCUAUAUUUAAUGCAAUAAUUAUAAAAGUAGAUCUGUUCGAUCUUUAAAAUAUUACAUGAUUUGAGUUCAAACCGGUGUAAACCAGGUUGGUUUCUAUCUUUUUAUAUAUUUUUCCAGUACGAAAGGACAAACAAAUUUUUAUUUUAAUAAAUUAGCAAAUAAAUGCAUUAGAUUUAGAAUCUAAAUAUAUUUAAUAAUU
RNAcentral lists this unclassified non-coding RNA (501 nucleotides) under Anelosimus guacamayos. Its description in RNAcentral is "partial contains 16S ribosomal RNA and tRNA-Leu (trnL)". The stretch from base 105 to 404 matches the Rfam family "Bacterial large subunit ribosomal RNA", at positions 2074 to 2646 of the family's 2925-position model. Lineage: Eukaryota; Metazoa; Arthropoda; Arachnida; Araneae; Theridiidae. The record is from RNAcentral.